This 263-nucleotide long non-coding RNA is filed under the name Brassica rapa (field mustard). Its description in RNAcentral is "long non-coding RNA (BRAP_LNC007573)". The record is from RNAcentral. Lineage: Eukaryota; Viridiplantae; Streptophyta; Magnoliopsida; Brassicales; Brassicaceae.
UAAAACCGGUUAUUCCGGUGAUCCGAUAAUUCGAUUUACAGUUUUAAAAAUAUACAUAUUUUAAAAAUCACUAAAACCCGAGACUAACCGAUUGAACCAAUGGAUGACUUAUAUGUAAUCAAAUUUGAUUUUUAAAUUUUUAUAGUUUCAUAGUUUGUCACUUCUUAAUCCAAAUUUUAAAGUUCAUUGUUUUGCAAUUUUAUGAAAUUAUGACGUUUCUACAAAAACUUUAUAGAGAAAAUUAUAGAUAUAAAAUAAGUAAA